AAAAUGAGAAAAAUUAAAAUGAACUACCGGUAUUUAUCUACCAGAAGUCGUAUAAAGGUUAUUUUUGUAUUUUUAGGGGGCCUAAAGAGAUAUUGAGGGGGCCUAAAAAGCAACCCUCUUUUUAUUUAAAUGGGGGGUGAGUAUUAGAUUUAAUUUUUCGUUAAAGGCCCAUAACAUUUGGAGGCCCGGCCUGAUUGAACACCUUUCACACCCUCA
This 216-nucleotide long non-coding RNA is filed under the name Medicago truncatula (barrel medic). RNAcentral's name for it is "long non-coding RNA (MTRU_LNC007241)". The record is from RNAcentral. Lineage: Eukaryota; Viridiplantae; Streptophyta; Magnoliopsida; Fabales; Fabaceae.